This 491-nucleotide ribosomal RNA is filed under the name uncultured bacterium. Its description in RNAcentral is "partial 16S ribosomal RNA". It matches the Rfam family "Bacterial small subunit ribosomal RNA", at positions 29 to 507 of the family's 1533-position model. The record is from RNAcentral.
AGUGAACGCUGGCGGUAGGCCUAACACAUGCAAGUCGAACGGCAGCACAGUAAGAGCUUGCUCUUACGGGUGGCGAGUGGCGGACGGGUGAGGAAUACAUCGGAAUCUACUUUUUCGUGGGGGAUAACGUAGGGAAACUUACGCUAAUACCGCAUACGACCUACGGGUGAAAGCAGGGGAUCUUCGGACCUUGCGCGAUUGAAUGAGCCGAUGUCGGAUUAGCUAGUUGGCGGGGUAAAGGCCCACCAAGGCGACGAUCCGUAGCUGGUCUGAGAGGAUGAUCGCCCAAAUUGGACUGAGACACGGGCCCAACCCCUAAGGGAGGCCACAGGGGGGAAAAAUGGACAAUGGGGCGAAACCUGAUCCAGCCAAUCCGCGUGGGGGAAAAAGGGCCUUGGGGUGUAAAGUCCUUUUAGUUGGGAAAAAAAAAGAGCAGGUUAAACCCCCGCUGUUUGAAGGGACCCCAAGAAAAAGGACCGGCUAAACUCGUG